AGCUCCAAUAGCGUAUAUUAAAGUUGCUGCAGUUAAAAAGCUCGUAGUUGGAUCUCGGGGUACCUGGUCUAGCCGGUAUAGAUCCCGCUAAAACUGGUCUGACCCCCCAACGUGAGGGAUUCGUCUCCGGGUGCACUUCAUUGGGUGCUCGUGAGGGGCCUCGUAGUUACUGUGAAAAAAUUAGAGUGUUCAAAGCAGGCUCAUAUGUUCGGAUAGUCGUGCAUGGAAUAACGGAAUACGUGACGGGCGCUUUUCAGUUGUUUUCGGAGACUGGUCAAAUGAUUAAGAGGGACUGGCGGGGGCAUUGGUAUGGCGGGGUCAGAGGUGAAAUUCUUGGAUCCUCGCCAGACCAACAAAAGCGAAAGCAUUUGCCAAGAAUGUCUUCA
Molecule: ribosomal RNA, 386 nt
Filed under: marine Metazoa environmental sample
Lineage: Eukaryota; Metazoa
Description: SSU rRNA
Rfam family: Eukaryotic small subunit ribosomal RNA
Source: RNAcentral